Molecule: ribosomal RNA, 253 nt
Filed under: uncultured bacterium
Lineage: Bacteria
Description: partial 16S ribosomal RNA
Rfam family: Bacterial small subunit ribosomal RNA
Source: RNAcentral
GACGAACUGCCCAAACGUUGUUCGGAAUCACUGGGCUUAAAGGGUGCGUAGGCGGCUUGUCAAGUCAGGGGUGAAAUCCGGCAGCUUAACUGUCGAAGUGCCUUUGAUACUGAUGAGCUCGAGGGAGGUAGGGGUCCGUGGAACUUCUGGUGGAGCGGUGAAAUGCGUUGAUAUCAGAAGGAACGCCGGUGGCGAAAGCGACGGACUGGAUCUCUUCUGACGCUGAGGCACGAAAGCUAGGGGAGCAAACGGG